CCCCACCCCCAAGUUAUAAGAAAAGAAAUAUCCUUAUUAAAAGAUAUAAAUUUAAAAUCUAGGAUAAGAGAAAUACUUGGGAAUUAAUAGACACCCGUUGUAAGCUGGUCGGUUGGAGUCUGAUUGGGAUAUCCCCAACAGCAUCCAUACUAGUGGCCUCAUUUGUUGUUGGGAAACUCUCUAAUAGGUGGGCACGGAUAGCGAGUGGUGCAACUAAUGAUGCCGUGAGUUUGGUAUGCACACCCUUUUUUAUCUAGACUACCAACUUCAUAGAAGAAAGCAUAUCUCUCACCUCUUUCAAUAAAAUCUCUGGGAGGUAUACUCGAAUACAUUAUCCUUCCUCUUCUUUUACUCUUNNNNNNNNNNNNNNNNNNNNNNNNNNNNNNUGUGGGGUGUGAGGAUAUAAGUCAUCCCCCAUCUCCAUAAUCUCAAAAUCCUUAGCCUCUACUACUAUGGCCCUGCUAUAGAAGUCUAGGACUAUAGACUCCAUAUAAGCUGAUAACUCCACCAAGGAUAGCAAAGUCAGAGGUGGAGCUGUUACCGCUAGGAUGGUCCACUCUACAAAAUACUUGAUUGAUUCUUUUAGUAUGGCAAAGUCAGAAGUAAUGGCUCUUAUAGUAGGAGUCUGGGCCUCUAUAACUAGAGUUGUCAGGCUCUUCUAAUAUUUUAUUAAAGCCAUGACUGCAAUCUUUAUAGACUGGAUGAACCUAUAUACUACAUUGAUAGUUGGGAAAUUUGAGUUUUACAAUUGUUGCAUGAGAUGAUGCAUAUAAAUGGUUAUUUGGUAUAAAAUUGUUGCACCCUAUCUCUAAUCUUCUCCACGAUGAUCCACAGGAUAUUCAACUCUAAUUUAUCUAUGAAAGCAGCUACUAAGCCUGCAUUAGUCGUAUCUAAUCUAUUAUAAUUUGACAUGGGUGUAUUGUGUUUCCUUACCAUUAACCAUAAAGCUUUAGUAAUGAACUUCGGUCUAUGCUUGUUUAUUGUUGCCCCAUUGACCCAUGGGGUAUUUUUGUAUUUUCUGCAAUGUGGUCUGUCAAUCACCUACAAUGCAUAACUUUGUCAUCCAUGGUAUACUUCUUUACCUACUUCAAGUAAUUCAUCUAAAAAUUGUAUUCUAAAGUUUCCUCAACUGGCUCAAAGGUGUUAUCGAACAAGGUACUACAGACCACCUUGACUAUCUACCUCAUGGUCCAAGACAUUGAUAAUGUUUAGCUAAGGCUUCUUACUCAUGUUUUUUCCUUAAACAAGGAAGUCGUGUUCUUGAUAAUGACCAUAUAGUUUCCAUAUAAUUCCUUCACCAGCUCUAUCGUAUAGCUUUUGAGGCAUCCAGUUAUCCACCCUAACUAGUAUCUCACAAUCCCUUCACUAAUUAUGGGAUUUUCUAUAGAAAUUCUAGCAAAAUCUAGGGUUGUUCUUGAAUAUUCCUUUUUUACUGCCCCUGUCAAUCACUAUGGUCUUUUCCAUAUAGUUGUCCCGAUAGUUUUGUACAAUCCAGUAUCUCGAGUCAAAAUUCUUUUAUAGUGGGCAAUAGUAACACCCGUGGAGGAUUUGGGGUUGUAUUCAUCCUUCUCCUCUAAGGAACUCAUCUCCUCAUCUUGCUCACCCCCAUUUUGUUGUGUGUCUUGCUUCCCUCUUUGGACUGGGGAAGGAUGGCAAGGGUAGAAUCUUAUACUAUGGUGGUAAAUAUAGAAGCCUUGGCCUUCACAAACUCCCUGGACAUAGCUCUCAUAAUCCGAGGAGAGUGUUGUUCAAUUGACGGGCUAAUAGAAUAGUCCACCUCACUACCACUGGAGUUGUAUCAUUCACUCGCCGAUAUCGAAGGUGUGUCUUUAGGUACCCACUUCUUGAAGAAGUCCUUCUUCAGCUUGUUCUACGGCUUUUGUGCCAUUGAUCUUGCAUAGGUAAAGAUUAUGCUCAACUUUGAAGUGUAAAAUUAGUUUAAGGAAAUAACUCAAAUAACCCAUCCUAUGAUUGUGCAAUAAAGGUAUGAUCAUACCUUUCUAUCAUAAGAAAGGUUCCCCAAAAGUAAUAGGGAAUCAUCACAUCAGAUGAUUUAUUCCAAUGAUAGUGAAAUUAAGGUAUGAUCAUACCUUCCAAUCAUAGGAACAACCUUAAGUUAUUGAGGCUAUACCACAACGUACGAGCACAUACCACGAUUGACCUUGAUAGGACUAUCAUGGGAUGUGCUCAUAUGAUGAGCAACUUUAAUAGGGACACAGGUACCCCAUGACAAUCCAACCUAUGACCAUAUGCCGAUAUUAUAGUCAUACAUUGUGUUGUGGAAUAUGCUAACAUUUACCACUUUACACAGUAGACUUUUGACACUUUUAGACCCAUUUUUAGACCUUUGUCGACUAUAUUUUUAGGAUAAGAAGGGUACUUAGAAUUCCCAUGUUAUUCCAAUCAUCCAAACACACAACCCAUUUUAUGUUCAUACCUCAUUAUUAUACCAUUCCCCUUAAACCCAACUAUAUACACAUUUUAAUGUUAUUUAGACCUAUAGAAUCACUAUUCAAAUUGAAUAAAUACACUUACUUGAGUUGAUAUCAAAUUGGGUAGAAGAAUUGAGUGGGAGACUAAAACCCUUAAUUACAACUAAUUUUGUCUGAAUUCAAGGUAAGAAAUUUUUGCUAGAUCAUUAAAGGGUAAAGAAUUUUAGUUGUAAAUAAUUGGUAAUGAUAAAUAAGGAUAAUCGGGUCUCAAAUAUAGGGUUUAAGUGUUUAAACCCUAACUAUGUCAGUUCUAAUUAGGUCAUACUUAUUUAAGUGGAUUGAUCAAAUGAAUUCCUCCUAUGAUUAUGGUAUCAAUCCAUGAUUGUGACUACUUAAUGUACUAAGAGGGUUUAGAAAAAUUACCUAGGAAUCUAUGAGCCUUAAGGAAAAUUGUAGUAUGUAACCACUACCGUUCCUUAAAAUUCUAGGUUAGAUGUCCUGAAUAUGGGCUCCAAGGAGUUUAAUUAGAUGAUUGGCACUAUAAUGAUGACAUCUAGGAAAGAUUGUAAUGGACAAUCAUAGGAUAACUCCUAAAUAUCAUCCCUUUGGACUUUCAUGGUUUCUAUACAGAUGACUGAACCUAUCAUGACCUAAUUUCUCAAAUUAUGAUGGCUCCUAAUAUAACCCACCAUUAGGCAAGCCAAUCCUAUAGUCUAAAACUGCUAGUAAUGGACUACCCAAAGAAUAAAGGGAUGAAUGCAGAACAGAUGUAAUAAAAGACUAACAUACAUAAGGUAAUCCCAAAACUAGGUGGAAUUAGUACAAGAGUUUCUAACAUAAGAAGGAUAUAAAUGAGGUACUAAAUUAAUAUACAUAUACAACCAUCUCUAAAUAAAACGUAGAGACUAGUAUAGUACAUAAGAGGGAGAAAAACAGUACUCCGAUGUCAGGAGAUAACUCUAUGUCUUCGAACCUUGGCUGCUCCGCACAACACACACAACCCGAGCGAUAACCACUGGAUUUAAAAGUGGCCCAAAAUAUUGACCCACUAUGUUGUGAUCCUAAUAGCAGUGAAUGAUAUACCGCAUCGCGGUAAAGAGUGAAUCUAUUAUUGUCAAAUUCCAGAAUAUUAGCGCAAUUAUGCUGCUUAGCGAUCCUAUGGAAAUUGUCAUGGUAGGACUAUGUGGUUAGCAUCAAAAUUGGAAGAAAAGUGACUUGCUGAAUAAGGACAUUGUCGAAACCUAAUCCCAUUCGAUUUAUAACUUGCCUUCUGUAAAUAUAAUGUGUUAAAUCACGUUUUAAACAUCUUGUAACAUCCUAGAUUGAUUAGAACAUCAUUGGAGGCUACCACAACUUCUUGUUAGGUUUUUAUUUCCUUAAUUUAGCUUUCAUUAUGGUUUUCAUCCUUCAUACAAUUAUUUGGAUGAUGAUUAUGGUUGAUUUGCUUAUAAUUAUUGGUUGUUUGUUUAUUAUUUAUUUAAAUAUUUGAUUGAUUGAUCACCCAAAUAAUGUAUCAAUUGUCACCUUUGUGAUCUUAGGAGAGGUAAUCAGGAGAUAGAACAUAGAGAUGAACAAAGUAUGGUUGAAUUCUUGUAUGAAAGAAGGAAUUUAAAUUAGUGCCUAGGAUAGGGAUGUACAUAGGUGCCUUACUUGAUUCAAAUGUAGGAUGAUAGCUUUAAAAAACAUAAUUAGAUUAUUACACCCCCUCUCAACAAUGUAGUUGUAAUAUCCAAAUUAGGUAAACGGUUAGAGGUCGGAGAAAAUGAUCAUGAAAUUAACCCUACAAAUCAACAACCAAGAUAAGUAAGUUAACGAAUAUAUUUUAAUAACAUAGUAUGAUUGUUCAAAGUGCUUUAACCUCGGGCUUUCCUCCAUUGAUUGUUUCAACACUUCAGUUUACCAUUGAUUCCUUUACUUUAUUUUACAUAUAUUUAAGACUCUAUUUUGGUUACGCUUGCAUCAAUUUAAUCUAAUUUGUGAACUAGAAAAGAAUUAUUGUUGAGUCAACUCCCUGUGGGAUCGAUACUCGGCUUUCUUUAAGGCCACUUUACUACUUGAUAGACCACAUAUGCUUGUGUGUGCUCUUAGGUGCUAUCAAUAGACCCGUCACGACUAGGCACUGGUUUAGGUUAUGACAAACUUGGUAUAAAAGUAAAUUUUAUUAUUUUUAGGUGUAAAAAAAGCCGUGUCGAUUAGAUUUCUUUUUAUGGGUGUGUAGCACACCACACUUAUAAAGGGGAGCCUACAAGGCAUUUAGGAAUAUUCUCCUUUCUUAUGUUCUAUUUCGGGCUAUAGAUAUUGGUUGUCAUGAAAUUUCUCUAACUCCUGGCUAGCUCACUUUUCAAAUCAUGCAUCCCUGAAGAUUUGACAAUCGUAGAAACUCUAUUGGAACCUGAGUCCGACUAGGGGAAGAUGUAGAGGGAACUUGUAUUUUUAUAGAGUAUAGACUCGGUCAAGGUUCCUUGCUACUAACUGUACCACUCUACUCGGUCAAGGUUCCUUGCUACUAACUGUACCACCCUACUAGUCUCCUUAGGCUUUCCAAGAUGGUGACACUUAUGCUCAAUCGCCCCAAGAAGAUAUUUCUAAUACAGAGUUUCAUCAGUCUAUUUAAAUGUUUGCUCAAUUAGUGGAAUUGUAUUCUCGUUACUCUAAUUAUGUUAGUCUUGCAGUGAGUUCAUAUGAGGUUACUAAAGUUGGCUAAUUUAUUAUGUUGAAUCCCCAAACCCUUACACGCUCUAAGGUUGAGGAGGAUCCAUAGAGUUUUACUGAUUAGAUAAAGAAAAUCUUUAGGGUGAUGCAUGCUACUACUCCAGAGGAUGUGGAGGUUUUUUCCUAUCAGUUGAAAGAUGUAGUUUAUCAAAGGUAUGAGGAGUACGAAGUGAUGAAUGGUGAUAACACUGAACUGGUGGGGUGGGAUAAAAUUUUUAGGUUCUUUUGUUAUUCACUUCUUUCCUUAAGAGUUGAGCAAAGCCAAGGAUGAAGAGUUUGUGAACUUUAAUUAGGGUAAGAUGAGUGUUAAGGAGCAUGCCCUGAGAUUCCAGCAAUUAUCCCAUUAUGCUCGGUGUUAGUGUCUAACAUGAUAUCCAGAAUAAAGAAUUUUACUUCUUAUUUGAUUUGAUGUUGGAGUGUAAGGAUACUAUGUUGAAUAAUGAUAUGGACAUAUUCAUGGUGGUGUUUUAUAUACUGUAGGUGGAGGAUAAGAAAAAGAAGUAGGUAGAGAAGAGAGAGAGACAGAGUAAGAAGUUUAGAUAUUUAGAGAAGGGUGUAGGUCAGUAAAAGAGUGAGAGAGAUGGUAGGCAAUGGAAUAGAAAGAAGAAUUAGGGAACUUCAUAUUCAAUAGCUAGUGCUCUUUAUUCGAAACCAUGAGGUGACCGUUCUUUUCAAGCUAGCAGUGGUCCUAAGCCAUAGGGUGCCAAAUAUCAAGUCAGUGGAGCUCAGUAAGCCUCAUUUUUAUUUUUGGACUUUGUGGGCAUCUUCAUUAUGGAUAUUAUGAGGGGGGAACUUAUUUUUUAAUUAUGGUUAUCAUGGUUAUUUAUAGUAGAAUUGUCCUAUAGCUAAAGUUUCCACUGGGGCUAAUAAGGCCCCAGCCACCACUUCUUUGGCUCUGACACCUAAGGGCACUACUUCAAGUGCCGACAUUGGGUGGAAUCGUCUCUAUGAACUUUCGAUUCAUUAAGAAUAAGAGGUAUCCCCUAAUAUUAUCACUGGUAUGUAACAGUUGUUCUCUCAUUAUGUUUAUUAUUUUCAUUAUAUAGAUUCUACCCCAUCUUAUGUGACCGCUUAUGUGGUUGUAUAUCUUGGUUUUGGUCCUAAAAAUAUAUUUGACCCUUCACAAUCUCUAUCUGCUGGGUGAUUCCUUUGUUGCUAGAAAAAUCUAUUGAGGUUAUAUGGUAUUCACUUUUCAUAGAGAGACAUUCGUGUAUUUAAUAGAACUUGAUAUGGUGGAUUUUGAUGUAAUCUUGGAAAUGGAUUAGCUUCAUUUGUGUAAUGCUUCUCCAGAUUGUAGAACCCGAAAGGUCAAUUACCAUUUCCACAAUAAACUUGUGAUUAAAUGAGAGGGCAGUUCCUAAAUACCAAAAGGGAAGUUUAUUUCCUAUGUUAGAGCUCAAAAGUUGAUUUCCAAGGGGUGUCUGUAUUAUCUAGUUCAGGUUUAGCAUUAAAAUUCUGAGAGUCCCGCUUUACAAUCUUUCCAUUUAUUAAAUGAAUUUCCCAAACUUUUCCCUGAUGAUUUUCCUAGAAUUCCUCCAGAUAGGGAAAUAGAUUUUGGGAUUGAUUUUCUACCGAAUACCCAUCCCAUUUCUAUUCCUCCAUGUAGGAUGGCUUCGUCAAAGCUAAAGGAACUAAAGGAGAAAUCAAAGGAUCUUUUAGAUAAGGGUUUCUUCUGUCCUAGUAUUUUUCUGUAGGGUUCUACUAUGUUUUUCGUGUGAAAAAAGGUAGUUGUCUUUGGAUGUGUAUAGAAUAUAGUUCGUUGAACAAGGUUAUAAUAAAAAAUAAGUAUCCUCUUCCUAGGAUUGAUCAUCUUUUAAAUCAGCUUUAGGGUGCUAGGUGUUUCUCUAAGAUUUAUCUCUGUUUGGACUAUCACCAGUUGAAAAGUAGGGAGGUUGACAUUCCCAAGACCUCUUUUCGAACCCGGUAUGGACAUUAUAAGUUUCUAGUUAUGUUGGUUGGGUUGACUAAUGCUUUGGCUUUUUUCAUAGAUCUUAUGACUCAUUUCAGGAUUUAUUUGUUAUCAUCUUCAUUGGUGGUAUCUUGGUAUACUCUAAGACUAAGAAGGAUCAUGCCAAUCACCUCUAAAGUAUGUUACAAACUCUUUAGGACCAGAAGUUGUAUGCAAUAUUUUCUAAGUAUAUAUUCUGGCUAAGUGUUGUGACCUUUGUUUAGCAUGUUAUUUCUAAUGACAGAAUCAAGGUUGAUCCAUAAAAAGUUGUGGCAGUAAAGAAAUACCCAUGACUCCAACUGACAUUAGGAGAAUCUUGGGCUUGGUUGGGUAUUAUAGGAGGUUUAUGGAAAGUUUCUCAUCUAUCGUUGCUAUGCUAACAAUAUUCACUCAGAAAAAGGUUAUUUUUUUACUGUUCGAUGCUUGUGAAGGUAGUUUUGGUAAGUUGAAGGAUAAGCUCACUUUUGUGGUAGUCUUAACCCUACUCGAGGGUAUAGAUAGGUUUGUGGAAUAAUAUGAUGUGUCCCAUGUAGGACUGGGUUAUGUUUGGAUGACAUGUGAUAAUGUUAUGGCCUAUGCUUAUAGGUAGCUUAAGGUUCAUGAAAGGAAUUAUCUGACUCAUAAUCUAGAGUUGACGGCUAUGGUUUUUACUUUGAAGAUCUUUUUCUAUUAUUUGUAUAAGGUGUAUGUGGACAUUCAUUCAAGCCAUAAGAACCUGUAGUAUGUGUUCACACUAAAGGAAUUGAACCUUAGGUAGAGGCGGUGUUUUGAGCUACUUAAGGAUUAUGACAUGAGCCUUCACAACCAUCCAGGUAAAGUUAAUAUUGUGACUGAUACUCUUUGCAGGUUGUGUAUAGGAAUCUUAUCUCAUAUGGAUAAGGAUAACAAAGGGUUGCUGAAGGAUAUUAAUAGGUUGGCUAACUUAGGAGUCCUUCUCUUGAACUCUGAGAAUGGGGGAGUAAUUAUUCAAGAAGUGGUUAAAUCAUCUCUUGGUAAUGAGGUAAAGGAGAAGCUGGAUUGGGAUACCAUACUAAAGUAGAUUAAGGAUGAUAUGGGUCAGCAAAAGGUUAUAGUAUUUGAGAUUGAGGGAUAUGGCAUUCUGAGGAAUCAAGAAAGGUUGUGUGUUCCUGAUGUUUAUGGGCUACGCAAAAGGAUUUUUGAUUGAGGGUCAUAAGUCUAGAUAUACAGGUCAUUCGAGUUCAAUUAAGAUUUAUCAUGACCUGAAGAAAAUCUAUUGGUGGAAUAAUAUAAAGAGAAAUAUGGCAAACCUUAUCUCUAAGUGUAUGGUUUGUCAGCAAUUCAAGGUUGAACAUUUAAGGCCUUGUGUCAUGUCUCAAGAGAUAGAGUUUCCUAUGUGUAAGUGGGAGAUGAUCAAUAUGGAUUUUGUCACUGUACUUCCAUGGUCUUGCAAUCAGUAUGAUUCUAUUUGGGUCAUUAUAUAUAGAAUGACCAAGUCUGAUCAUUUCUUUCCUUUGAGGACUAACUACUCGGCAGAGGAUUAUGCCAAGUUGUUCAUUUAGGAGACACUUAAAGUGCAUGGAGCAUCAUUGUCUAUCAUUUUAAAUUGAGGUAUGCAGUUUACUUCUUAUUUUUGACAUUUUUUAGAAAUUUUAAGGACUAAUGAGAACCUUUGCAGCGCUUUCCACCCUCAAAUUGAUGUAAAAGUGGAUCAUACCAUUCUACCUUGAAGGAUAUGCUAAGGGCAUAUGUGAUACUCUUACUCAAUUUUCUUAGAAUAAUAACUAUCACUCUAGCAUCUAGAUGUCCUUUUUUGAGGCUCUUUAUUGUAGAAGGUGCAGGUCUCCUAUUAGAUGGUUUGAGAUAGGUGAGACUAGGUUGUUUGGCCCAAAUUUGGUUCACCAAUCCAUGGAUAAGGUGAAGGUGAUUAGACAAACGCUUAAGACUACUCAAAGUUUCCAAAAGCCUUAUAUAGAUGGAGGGAGUUGGAGAUUGAGGUUAAUGAUUGGGUUUUCUUAAAGGUUUCUCCUAUGAAAGAAGUUAUGAGAUUUUAGAAGAAAGGGAAGCCGAGCCCCUAUUAUAUUAGUCUGUAUCCAUAUGUGAGGAGAAUUGGGAAUAUCUCAUAUGAAUUAGACUUACCAACGAUUUUGUCUUUGAUUCAUCUUGUUUUCCAUAUGUCUAUGCUGAAAAAGUGUAGGGGUGAUCCAUCUUUGAUAGUGCCAGUUGAGGAUGUUGGUGUUACGAAUUCGUUAUCAUACAAGGAAAUCCUUGUUGAAAUUUUGGAUAGGUAUGUUUGUAUAUUUAGUACAAUACAAAGGAUACAUAUUUGGUGAAGGUUCUGUUAAAAAAUCAAAAGAUGAAAGAAGCUACAUGGGAAGCUGAGGAAGAUCUGAGGUCCAAUUACAAAUUUUUAUUCUCAACAAUGGAUGAAAGUAUUUAAGGUGCGAGUUUUAUUUCACUUCUUGUCACAUCUUGAAUUUGUUCUUGAAUUUCACUGUAUUCUUUCUAUUAUCAGGCUAAGGGUGUUCUAACUUCUUAUUCGGGGAUGAAUGAUUCAAAGGAGGGGAUAAUGUAACACCCCACAAUUUUAGACUAGAAUCAGAACCAUCAAUCCUAUGUGUAUAUACCCAAACCCAAUAAUUAUAUGUCAAUAUAAGUAUUAUGGUUAAUUCUUUAGUGUGGGAACAUCUUUGGUGAUUAAGUGAUAUCAUAAAAAAUUCCUAACUCAAAGAUGAGUUGAGAACUUUUCUAUCGAUUAAGUUUUUAGUGGAUUUACCUACAUGGGUCAAAUUAUAAUGAUCAUUACUUCUAGAAUAUAAUGAGUUGGGUGGCCUAAUAUAUCCCAAAUGAAAGUUCUUCGAGUCUUCUUUCCAACGCAUCUUAUUUUACCUUAAUCCUAUAUCGGAGUUGAAAGUUAUGCUUAUCUUACUUAGAAGUGUUUGUCUGCCCAAAGAUGAUGACUAAGUUGACGAGCUGUCAGCUAGGUGACGACUAAGGUGAUGAGCUAUCAAAUAGGUGAUGAUCUAUCAACCCAAGUCAUCAACCUUAACCAGUAAAUGGCAAAAUCGGCUAGAUAUUAAUGACUAGAUUGAUGAGUUGUCAACAAACUGAUGGCUUAUCAACCUAGUCGUCAAGUGAAGAAUACCUGUGAUUUUUUUCAUUUCUUUAGGGAUAUUUUGGUCUUUUCCUCACCCCAAACUCCCCCCCUACAAUUUAAACCAUUCAAUAAGCCUUGUAUUUUGAUGUUUAGUUAGUGUUUCAAUGCUUUAUCCUCUUUUCACUCUCAAGAGACAAAAGUUGGGGUUUCUUCCCCAAUAUUCAUAUUUCCAAGGCUCAGAUUCAGGUUGUCACAAAUUUGUUUCAUCUAAAAGGAAUUUUACUCAUCCUUAACUUGUAUUUUCACAUUGUGGGAUUUAUUUACUCAAUAUUCAUGUAUUUUGAAUUAUAGGUUGAACUUAGGCUGUAGGUUUUCGGUGGUUAACACUUGAACUGCUUAUUCUGGUGGUUAAUAUUUGAAUUGCUUAUUCUUUCUUUUAACUUGAUUAUUCAUGUUUUAACUGAUGGUUUUUCUGACUGAAUUGAUUUAUUAUGAUAUUGAAUGGAAUGGGUGAAAUGGAUUUCCCAAAUUGAUGGAUUUUUGUCUUGGUAAUGGCAUUAACCUCAACCCAACUUGUAAACUUGAUCCUGAAUUUAGAUAAUUCUAUGAUUUAACUUAUCUUUUAAAAACAUUUCAUUGCAUUAUAGGAUAAAUAGAUGAAAAUGGUUUUUGAAGGCCGUUGGUGGCCAUGGUUUGAUUUUAAAUGGAACUUGAGAUUUAAUGGUUAUAUGGAUUGGUAUGGAAUUAUUAUAUAAUCUUGCAAGCAUAUAGAUAUGACGAUAAAAUGUUGGUAAAUACCAUUAUAAGGACUCCUUGGUUUACAGUUGGGUUUAUGUAUAAAAUAUUUUAAGUUGGGAUUAAAGGGAACUGUGUAGCUCACCGUAAAGGUGUAGGUCCCAAAGGGACAAACCCUGGAAAUCAUGUUUUCUUGUUUGGGGGUUUAUGUGACCAUGUUAUUGGUGAAAAAAUUAUAUUUUGGAUGGCUAUCGCCUUGGUUUCUUUAGCCUUUCCUUGUUUCCCUUGAUUCAUGCAGCUACCAUGCAUUGGGCCCUUUCAGUAAAGGGAGCUGAACCCAUAUAGCCCAUGGGUAUCUUUAAGAUAGAGCGAGCUACAUAGUUCAGGUUAAUAUUUUAAACUCUCAUCAUCCCUAUCCCGACAUCCUAUAUAUGUAUAUAUAAAUGUUGUGAAUAUGGUUUUGAUUGGUUUUUGAUAUGUGCACUAUUUUAUCCCUUUCCUUUAAGUUACGUGCGAGUUCUCACCCCAUUAACAGUCCCUGGACAUUGUAUCAUUUUGAUGAUAUAGGGUCCAAGGGCCUUUCUGUUUCUCCUAUGCAGAGUUAGGUGAUUUGGUACUCUUGUGGAUCUGCUGUGAAGUGGUGAGACUCCAUCUUUUAGAAGUCUCGGUCAUUUCACUUAUUUCCUUUAUUUCUUAUUAUUUCUUUUUGUAUACUUAUGGUCAUAGUUGUGGGCAUGUCCCGACGUAGUUCGUAUUUCAGAUUUAGAGGCUUAGUGGAUAAUUAUUGGGUUGGUUUUUUUAUUCUUAUAACUUUCAUUUUGUUUAUCUGUCCUUCUUAGUAUCCUUUUUGGUUGGAUUUUAUUGUAAUUAUAUUAUGCUCUGGAGGUUAGUUAAAGGGGUAGUCUUCGACAUACGAUUCAGUUGAGAUACCCACUCCGACUCAGCCAAGGUUUGGGUCGUAACACCAUACUUGGUCGAAACAAUCUCUGAUGAAAUUUUUGAUGGUUCCAUAAAACAUCUAAUUUCGUAUGGUAGCAUAUUUUGUUUGCACGUACGAGAUUAUGAAGGAACUCGAUAACCUAGUCAAAGUCCAUUUAGAAAGUAGGAAAAUAUGGUGUAUCAGAUUACUGAUGCAACCGCUUAAAUGAUCGUAUUAUCACUUAAGCGGUCAUCGCAUAUGUUGCAUGGUGACUCUUAAGCGAUAUUGACUACUUCGUCAAUGGCUGCUUUAGUGAUGAUUGUAUAUGCUUAGCCAGGCAUUGCUUUAAUAGGCGAUGUGUUGUUUAAGUGAUACCCACCAGGCUUAACAGAUUUCUUAAGCAAUGCUGGAGCCUCUUAAGUUAUUAUCGCUUAAGCGAUAGGGUGACCACUUAAGCGGUAGAUGGUGGCUUUAAAUAUCCUUUCCCUAUACGAUUUUCUAAAAUUUCUUCUACAAUUUUACACCAGGUUGAGAUCUCAAAGAGAGAAAAGGUGAAAAAUCAUCCAUAUAAGUUAAGGUAAGCUAACCUAACUUUUAUUAGUGAUUUACCACUAAUUUUGCUUUCAAUUUCCAUCCUAAUUCAUUGUAAAAUUCUUAGAAAUUAGGUCUAAAAUUUGUAAAUUUUAAGGGUUGAUUUGAGACCCGAUUUGCGUUCCAUUUAUGCUCAACUUUUUAGCACACAUUCCUUGUCCUUCUAGUGACCUCAUGAUGGGCUGAAUUUUUGAUUCCAUUUGUGGGCUCUGCAGGCUUAUUUUUGACCCAAAAUUUUACCCGACCCAUAAUAUAGAAAUAUGGGUCUUAUUUUACUCCUAUGACAUGAAUUUUACUAUUUUAAUAGCACUACUGCAUUUUGGGAUCGUGGAGUGAAGACGGAUGAUUAUAACAUUAUAGUUUGGUAUUGAGGUAGGCUUUUGUCUACUUCUUCUAGAGAUGGUGCUUUAUAUAUGUUGCAUGUUAGAUAAGUAUGUUAGGAUGUAAUUGUAGGUAGAAACCGUGACUUAGCCUAAAUUAUGAGUUUGGGGGCUAGAAGGGUAAUUAACCCUUAAGGUAAAAUACUUAUUACACUUGUACUAUUAUAUUACCUUAGGUUGCUAGCAUGUUAGACAUAGUUGAGAUUAAUUAACCUUUAGUAUAUUGUUUAGUUUGUUACUAGGUGAUUUUGAUGGUUUUUACCCAAAGUAUGAUGUUAUAGUUAUGUCGGAUAUGUAUUAUUGGGCCUAAGGUCAAGAUUAGGAAAUGGGUUGGAUUUCAAGAAGUGUUUUAUCCUAGUAAAGGAAGUGGCCAUAAUUUAUACACAUAUUGAUACUUAUAAUCAUAUUAUUUUGAUACUGAUGAUGGCAUACAUAGAUUCGGUAAAUUCUAGAUCACCUAGAUGGUAAAUGGUAUGAUUCCAACUAAAAUAUGGUCUUACUACUCUUUUUCUAAAAAUGGAUUUAUUCCCACUUUUCACUUUUAAAAUGGAUUCCCUUAUAACGGAAAUCAUACCAUCAUAAUCAAUAGCUUAUGAUCCUUUAAGACUAAAAAUGAUGUUUCAUAUAUUUGACCGAGAUAGAUUUUGGUCCACAGUUAUGUUACUACUAUUUACCUCGAUUGUGAGAUAUUCCAAACUUUUCUACACUUUUAUGAUAAUUUAGUCCCAGAGUUAACCUUGGGAAAUAGAUUUAUUGACUUACACUCUUAUAUAUCUGGUACUAGAUAGAGUAGAUUAAUAAUGAUGAUGAUGGUUAUUGGAAAUCUUGGGUCAAGACUAGGUUAGUGUAAUACGGGUACUUCGAAACCCCUUAGGGGCUUCUCCAUCCUAAUUCUUGUGUUGGAGAAGAGAUGUAUCCAUAGGUACUUCCUUUGUGAUCUAUUCAUCUAUAGGAGGUAUAUACACUUUCUUACAUUAUGGUACUUGGAUCGGUUAUAGUAUUAUGGAUUUUCUUUCUUUCAUGAGCACUGCCUAUCACCAAAAUGCAACUUUAUCUAUCAGCCUUAUGGGGUUUCAUAGGUAUAGGUGAUGAGUAUUGAUUGAGGAAUAUUGUGUACAUGUUGAUUGGACCUUUUGAUUUAUGGAGCCCAACUUAGGUAUUAUUUGUUUGGGCUAGCUGAUUACUUUAUAUUGUUUUUUCUUAUGUUAGCUCAUGAUAGGUUGAUUAUUUUAUUUCGCAUGAUCAUCCCAAGUUUAGGCAUUAUGGUUUUAGAUCCUGAUUAUGUUAGCACUAGUUCCUAUUAUGAUUAGGAGGACUUGAGAAGAUAGUGCGAUUACUUAGGUUAUACCUUUGAUUUAGCCUUGUUUAUACAUAUAUAUCUAUAUACAUCUAUCUAUGUCCAGUUAUUGUAUUACCGUAUAUCCCUUUCUUCCUUUAUUUAUAGAUUUUGUUUAUCAAUUUCUUGGUCUCGUUUACUAUUACAUAUCCUUCUUUUGCUAUCUAUUCAUAUAUUGGCCAGUGAUAUAUGAUAUAGUGAUUAGGUUCUUUUAUAUGGCUAGAAUAGGAUAGUUUAUCCUUAUUAUCUCCUUAAUUUACUAUGUCAUUUGUUGGAUAUUUAGGUGUAGUUUACAUUCCUACGUGCAUGCUAUUUAUAUUUGUAUUAUCUUUGGAGCUCAGAUAGUAGUUGCCUACUGAUUAAUACAUAUUUAGUAUUCAUACUACACUUCUACAGUCUGCAGAUCAUAGUAUGGGUUUUUUCAAUUAUUGUUUGCAUUGUGCAGAGCAAUUAUGGUUUGGAUACAAAGGGUAAAAUCCUGCCAUUUAGAGUAUUAUUAUUCUCCCUCUUAUAUACUAUACUAAUCUCUAUGUAUUCUUUAGAUAUGUGUUGUACCAAUAUAUUCAUUUAGGACUUCAUGUUGUAGUCUUGUUACAUUAGCAGCUCUUGUACUAAUUCCACUAGGUUUUGGGAUUAUCUUAUGUAUUUUAGUAAUUUUCUAUAUUUAUUCAUCAUUCUUCCUUUAUUUCUCUUGGUAGUCUAUUACUAGUAGUUCAAAACGAUAGGUUGGCUUACCUACUGGUGGGUUAUAGUAGGUUUCAUCUUGACCUGAGAAAUUAGGUCGUGAAAAAUUUGUAUCAGAGCUUAGGUUUAUUGGUGUAUUGGUUCAAGACUAAGUGUCUAGUAGUGUCCUGCAGAUUAGUGCGGAGAUGCCCAAUAAUUGGUAGAAGAGUUAUAUGAGUUAAAAAGGUCAUGACUUGAUUUCAUGGUUGGUGAGUGGGUUCUAUUGAAGGUAUCACCCAUAAAGGGUGUGACAGAGAAGAAGGAUAACCUUAGACUAAGGCUUAUUGAUCCUUUUGAGGUUCUUUAAUGUGUAGGAAAGAUUGCCUAUAAGUUAUCUUUGCCUUUAGGUCUUUUAAUUAUGCAUCUCGUGUUUCAUGUUUUAAUGUUAAAGAAGUAUCGAUCUCAUGGCUCUUAUAUAAUUUAUAGGAUUUGAUUGAUUUGGAUCAAAAUCUAAUAUUUAAGGAACCGAUGGCCAUUGUGGAUAGGCAGAUCUAGAAGUUAUGGUGCAAGGAGAA
Molecule: long non-coding RNA, 15346 nt
Filed under: Capsicum annuum
Lineage: Eukaryota; Viridiplantae; Streptophyta; Magnoliopsida; Solanales; Solanaceae
Description: long non-coding RNA (CANN_LNC015894)
Source: RNAcentral